Molecule: small RNA, 175 nt
Filed under: Arabidopsis thaliana (thale cress)
Lineage: Eukaryota; Viridiplantae; Streptophyta; Magnoliopsida; Brassicales; Brassicaceae
Description: ATSL137180
Source: RNAcentral
AAUAUUCUUUACACGUCAGCAAUCCUAGAUCGGGAUAACAUUAUUCCUGCAAUCCAAGAUCCGAACAGAGUUAAACCGGGUUAUACCCACCCAUUUGAAUUAAUUGUUGAAUUAUGGCUCAAAUCUUCAACAUUAUCUUCAAAAAUCCCCUCCAAAAAUGUAUAUAUAGAUUAUC